This 500-nucleotide ribosomal RNA is filed under the name uncultured bacterium. RNAcentral's name for it is "partial 16S ribosomal RNA". It matches the Rfam family "Bacterial small subunit ribosomal RNA", at positions 30 to 523 of the family's 1533-position model. The record is from RNAcentral.
AUUGAACGCUGGCGGAAUGCUUUACACAUGCAAGUCGAACGGCAGCACGGACUUCGGUCUGGUGGCGAGUGGCGAACGGGUGAGUAAUGUAUCGGAACGUGCCCAGUCGUGGGGGAUAACGUAGUGAAAAUUACGCUAAUACCGCAUACGAUCUAUGGAUGAAAGCGGGGGAUCGCAAGACCUCGCGCGAUUGGAGCGGCCGAUAUCAGAUUAGGUAGUUGGUGGGGUAAAGGCCCACCAAGCCAACGAUCUGUAGCUGGUCUGAGAGGACGACCAGCCACACUGGAACUGAGACACGGUCCAGACUCCUACGGGAGGCAGCAGUGGGGAAUUUUGGACAAUGGGCGAAAGCCUGAUCCAGCCAUUCCGCGUGCAGGAUGAAGGCCCUCGGGUUGUAAACUGCUUUUGUACAGAGCGAAAAGGUUUCUACUAAUACUAGGAGCUCAUGACGGUACUGUAAAAAUAAGCACCGGCUAACUACGUGCCAGCAGCCGCAGUAA